RNAcentral lists this ribosomal RNA (260 nucleotides) under uncultured bacterium. RNAcentral describes it as "partial 16S ribosomal RNA". It matches the Rfam family "Bacterial small subunit ribosomal RNA", at positions 489 to 745 of the family's 1533-position model. The record is from RNAcentral.
AGCACUGUAGGUGCCAGCAGCCGCGGUAAUACAGAGGGUGCAAGCGUUAAUCGGAAUUACUGGGCGUAAAGCGCGCGUAGGUGGUUUGUUAAGUUGGUAUGUGAAAUCCCCGGGCUCAACCUGGGAACUGCAUUCAAAACUGACAAGCUAGAGUAUGGUAGAGGGUGGUGGAAUUUCCUGUGUAGCGGUAGAAAUGCGUAGAUAAGUAAGGAACGGAACACCAGGUGGACGAAGGCGACCACCGUGGACUGAUACUGACA